CUCAAUGUUGUCAAUGAUGUAUCCAUAUUGGAACUGAAUUUAGGUGAUUUAACCCAUUCGUCACUACCACUGAGACAACAUUGAG
This 85-nucleotide small nucleolar RNA is filed under the name Neotoma lepida (desert woodrat). RNAcentral describes it as "Small nucleolar RNA SNORD70". It matches the Rfam family "Small nucleolar RNA SNORD70". Rfam says of the family: snoRNA HBII-234 belongs to the C/D family of snoRNAs. It is the human orthologue of the mouse MBII-234 and is predicted to guide 2'O-ribose methylation of the small 18S rRNA on position A512. Lineage: Eukaryota; Metazoa; Chordata; Mammalia; Rodentia; Cricetidae. The record is from Rfam by way of RNAcentral.